RNAcentral lists this ribosomal RNA (253 nucleotides) under uncultured bacterium. RNAcentral describes it as "partial 16S ribosomal RNA". It matches the Rfam family "Bacterial small subunit ribosomal RNA", at positions 524 to 776 of the family's 1533-position model. The record is from RNAcentral.
UACAGAGGGGGCAAGCGUUAUUCGGAAUUAUUGGGCGUAAAGGGCGCGUAGGCGGCGUGACAAGUCACUUGUGAAAUCUCUGAGCUUAACUCAGAACGGCCAAGUGAAACUGUUGUGCUAGAGUGCAGAAGGGGCAAUCGGAAUUCUUGGUGUAGCGGUGAAAUGCGUAGAUAUCAAGAGGAACACCUGAGGUGAAGACGGGUUGCUGGGCUGACACUGACGCUGAGGCGCGAAAGCCAGGGGAGCAAACGGG